Molecule: ribosomal RNA, 490 nt
Filed under: uncultured bacterium
Lineage: Bacteria
Description: partial 16S ribosomal RNA
Rfam family: Bacterial small subunit ribosomal RNA
Source: RNAcentral
AUUGAACGCUGGCGGCAGGCCUAACACAUGCAAGUCGAACGGUAACAGGAGACAGCUUGCUGUUUCGCUGACGAGUGGCGGACGGGUGAGUAAUAUCUGGGAAACUGCCUGAUGGAGGGGGAUAACUACUGGAAACGGUAGCUAAUACCGCAUAACGUCGCAAGACCAAAGAGGGGGACCCUCGGGCCUCUUGCCCUCGGAUGUGCCCAGAUGGGAUUAGCUUGUUGGUGGGGUAACGGCUCACCAAGGCGACGAUCCCUAGCUGGUCUGAGAGGAUGACCAGCCACACUGGAACUGAGACACGGUCCAGACUCCUACGGGAGGCAGCAGUGGGGAAUAUUGCACAAUGGGCGCAAGCCUGAUGCAGCCAUGCCGCGUGUAUGAAGAAGGCCUUCGGGUUGUAAAGUACUUUCAGCGGGGAGGAAGGGAGUAAAGUUAAUACCUUUGCUCAUUGACGUUACCCGCAGAAGAAGCACCGGCUAACUCCGUG